This 2899-nucleotide ribosomal RNA is filed under the name Klebsiella quasipneumoniae. Its description in RNAcentral is "23S ribosomal RNA". It matches the Rfam family "Bacterial large subunit ribosomal RNA". Lineage: Bacteria; Pseudomonadati; Pseudomonadota; Gammaproteobacteria; Enterobacterales; Enterobacteriaceae. The record is from RNAcentral.
UUAAGCGACUAAGCGUACACGGUGGAUGCCCUGGCAGUCAGAGGCGAUGAAGGACGUGCUAAUCUGCGAAAAGCGUCGGUAAGGUGAUAUGAACCGUUACAGCCGGCGAUGUCCGAAUGGGGAAACCCAGUGCAAUUCGUUGCACUAUCGUUAACUGAAUACAUAGGUUAACGAGGCGAACCGGGGGAACUGAAACAUCUAAGUACCCCGAGGAAAAGAAAUCAACCGAGAUUCCCCCAGUAGCGGCGAGCGAACGGGGAGCAGCCCAGAGUCUGAAUCAGCUUGUGUGUUAGUGGAACGGUCUGGAAAGUCCGACGGUACAGGGUGAUAGUCCCGUACACCAAAAUGCACAGGUUGUGAACUCGAAGAGUAGGGCGGGACACGUGGUAUCCUGUCUGAAUAUGGGGGGACCAUCCUCCAAGGCUAAAUACUCCUGACUGACCGAUAGUGAACCAGUACCGUGAGGGAAAGGCGAAAAGAACCCCGGCGAGGGGAGUGAAAAAGAACCUGAAACCGUGUACGUACAAGCAGUGGGAGCACCUUAUGGUGUGACUGCGUACCUUUUGUAUAAUGGGUCAGCGACUUAUAUUCUGUAGCAAGGUUAACCGUAUAGGGGAGCCGCAGGGAAACCGAGUCUUAACUGGGCGUUAAGUUGCAGGGUAUAGACCCGAAACCCGGUGAUCUAGCCAUGGGCAGGUUGAAGGUUGGGUAACACUAACUGGAGGACCGAACCGACUAAUGUUGAAAAAUUAGCGGAUGACUUGUGGCUGGGGGUGAAAGGCCAAUCAAACCGGGAGAUAGCUGGUUCUCCCCGAAAGCUAUUUAGGUAGCGCCUCGUGAACUCAUCUUCGGGGGUAGAGCACUGUUUCGGCUAGGGGGUCAUCCCGACUUACCAACCCGAUGCAAACUACGAAUACCGAAGAAUGUUAUCACGGGAGACACACGGCGGGUGCUAACGUCCGUCGUGAAGAGGGAAACAACCCAGACCGCCAGCUAAGGUCCCAAAGUCAUGGUUAAGUGGGAAACGAUGUGGGAAGGCACAGACAGCCAGGAUGUUGGCUUAGAAGCAGCCAUCAUUUAAAGAAAGCGUAAUAGCUCACUGGUCGAGUCGGCCUGCGCGGAAGAUGUAACGGGGCUAAACCAUGCACCGAAGCUGCGGCAGCGACACGAUGUGUUGUUGGGUAGGGGAGCGUUCUGUAAGCCUGCGAAGGUGACCUGUGAGGGUUGCUGGAGGUAUCAGAAGUGCGAAUGCUGACAUAAGUAACGAUAAAGCGGGUGAAAAGCCCGCUCGCCGGAAGACCAAGGGUUCCUGUCCAACGUUAAUCGGGGCAGGGUGAGUCGACCCCUAAGGCGAGGCCGAAAGGCGUAGUCGAUGGGAAACAGGUUAAUAUUCCUGUACUUGGUGUUACUGCGAAGGGGGGACGGAGAAGGCUAUGUUAGCCGGGCGACGGUUGUCCCGGUUUAAGCAUGUAGGCUGGUUAUCCAGGCAAAUCCGGAUAAUCAAGGCUGAGGUGUGAUGACGAGGCACUACGGUGCUGAAGUAACAAAUGCCCUGCUUCCAGGAAAAGCCUCUAAGCAUCAGGUAACAUCAAAUCGUACCCCAAACCGACACAGGUGGUCAGGUAGAGAAUACCAAGGCGCUUGAGAGAACUCGGGUGAAGGAACUAGGCAAAAUGGUGCCGUAACUUCGGGAGAAGGCACGCUGGUGUGUAGGUGAAGUCCCUGCGGAUGGAGCUGAGACCAGUCGAAGAUACCAGCUGGCUGCAACUGUUUAUUAAAAACACAGCACUGUGCAAACACGAAAGUGGACGUAUACGGUGUGACGCCUGCCCGGUGCCGGAAGGUUAAUUGAUGGGGUUAUCCGUAAGGAGAAGCUCUUGAUCGAAGCCCCGGUAAACGGCGGCCGUAACUAUAACGGUCCUAAGGUAGCGAAAUUCCUUGUCGGGUAAGUUCCGACCUGCACGAAUGGCGUAAUGAUGGCCAGGCUGUCUCCACCCGAGACUCAGUGAAAUUGAACUCGCUGUGAAGAUGCAGUGUACCCGCGGCAAGACGGAAAGACCCCGUGAACCUUUACUAUAGCUUGACACUGAACAUUGAGCCUUGAUGUGUAGGAUAGGUGGGAGGCUUUGAAGCGUGGACGCCAGUCUGCGUGGAGCCAACCUUGAAAUACCACCCUUUAAUGUUUGAUGUUCUAACGUUGGCCCCUAAUCGGGGUUGCGGACAGUGUCUGGUGGGUAGUUUGACUGGGGCGGUCUCCUCCCAAAGCGUAACGGAGGAGCACGAAGGUUAGCUAAUCCUGGUCGGACAUCAGGAGGUUAGUGCAAUGGCAUAAGCUAGCUUGACUGCGAGCGUGACGGCGCGAGCAGGUGCGAAAGCAGGUCAUAGUGAUCCGGUGGUUCUGAAUGGAAGGGCCAUCGCUCAACGGAUAAAAGGUACUCCGGGGAUAACAGGCUGAUACCGCCCAAGAGUUCAUAUCGACGGCGGUGUUUGGCACCUCGAUGUCGGCUCAUCACAUCCUGGGGCUGAAGUAGGUCCCAAGGGUAUGGCUGUUCGCCAUUUAAAGUGGUACGCGAGCUGGGUUUAGAACGUCGUGAGACAGUUCGGUCCCUAUCUGCCGUGGGCGCUGGAGAAUUGAGGGGGGCUGCUCCUAGUACGAGAGGACCGGAGUGGACGCAUCACUGGUGUUCGGGUUGUCAUGCCAAUGGCACUGCCCGGUAGCUAAAUGCGGAAGAGAUAAGUGCUGAAAGCAUCUAAGCACGAAACUUGCCCCGAGAUGAGUUCUCCCUGAGACUUUAAGUCUCCUGAAGGAACGUUAAAGACGAUGACGUUGAUAGGCCGGGUGUGUAAGCGCAGCGAUGCGUUGAGCUAACCGGUACUAAUGAACCGUGAGGCUUAACCU